AGAGUUUGAUUAUGGCUCAGGAUGAACGCUGGCGGCAUGCCUAACACAUGCAAGUCGAACGGGGUUUAUAUGACAGAACUCUCCGGAGGGAAGAUAUAUAAACCUAGUGGCGGACGGGUGAGUAACGCGUGGGCAACCUGCCCUGUACCGGGGGACAACAGCCAGAAAUGGCUGCUAAUACCGCAUAAGCCUGCUGUGCCGCAUGGCACAGCAGGGAAAACCACGGUGGUACAGGAUGGGCCCGCGUCUGAUUAGUUAGUUGGCAGGGUAACGGCCUACCAAGACAACGAUCAGUAGCCGGCUUGAGAGAGUGGACGGCCACAUUGGGACUGAGACACGGCCCAGACUCCUGCGGGAGGCAGCAGUGGGGAAUAUUGCACAAUGGGGGGAACCCUGAUGCAGCAAUGCCGCGUGGGUGAAGAAGCACUCCGGUGCGUAAAGCCCUGUCAGCAGGGAAGAAAAUGACAGUACCUGGACAAGAAGCCCCGGCUAACUACGUGCCAACAGCCGCGGUAAUACGUAAGGGGCAAGCGUUAUCCG
RNAcentral lists this ribosomal RNA (540 nucleotides) under uncultured bacterium. RNAcentral's name for it is "bacterial SSU rRNA". It matches the Rfam family "Bacterial small subunit ribosomal RNA", at positions 8 to 547 of the family's 1533-position model. The record is from RNAcentral.